CUCGUAGGCGGUUCGUCGCGUCCGGUGUGAGAGUCCAUCGCCUAACGGUGGAUCUGCGCCGGGUACGGGCGGGCUGGAGUGCGGUAGGGGAGACUGGAAUUCCCGGUGUAACGGUGGAAUGUGUAGAUAUCGGGAAGAACACCAAUGGCGAAGGCAGGUCUCUGGGCCGUUACUGACGCUGAGGAGCGAAAGCGUGGGGAGCGAACA
This 207-nucleotide ribosomal RNA is filed under the name uncultured bacterium. Its description in RNAcentral is "partial 16S ribosomal RNA". It matches the Rfam family "Bacterial small subunit ribosomal RNA", at positions 568 to 774 of the family's 1533-position model. The record is from RNAcentral.